GAUGAACGCUGGCGGCGUGCCUAAUACAUGCAAGUCGAGCGAACAGACGAGGAGCUUGCUCCUCUGACGUUAGCGGCGGACGGGUGAGUAACACGUGGAUAACCUACCUAUAAGACUGGGAUAACUUCGGGAAACCGGAGCUAAUACCGGAUAAUAUAUUGAACCGCAUGGUUCAAUAGUGAAAGACGGUUUUGCUGUCACUUAUAGAUGGAUCCGCGCCGCAUUAGCUAGUUGGUAAGGUAACGGCUUACCAAGGCAACGAUGCGUAGCCGACCUGAGAGGGUGAGCGGCCACACUGGAACUGAGACACGGUCCAGACUCCUACGGGAGGCAGCAGUAGGGAAUCUUCCGCAAUGGGCGAAAGCCUGACGGAGCAACGCCGCGUGAGUGAUGAAGGUCUUCGGAUCGUAAAACUCUGUUAUUAGGGAAGACCAAAUGUGUAAGUAACUAUGCACGUCUUGACGGUACCUAAUCAGAAAGCCACGGCUAACUACGUG
RNAcentral lists this ribosomal RNA (497 nucleotides) under uncultured bacterium. RNAcentral describes it as "partial 16S ribosomal RNA". It matches the Rfam family "Bacterial small subunit ribosomal RNA", at positions 28 to 507 of the family's 1533-position model. The record is from RNAcentral.